This is a long non-coding RNA of Drosophila obscura, 1909 nucleotides long. RefSeq lists it as uncharacterized. The record is from RefSeq and is a predicted model, not a curated record. NCBI's taxonomy places the organism in Eukaryota, Metazoa, Arthropoda, Insecta, Diptera, Drosophilidae. The transcript has 5 exons.
CCAGUCGGCCGGGAUUUGUAUAUGUUCGAAAUAUAAAUUUUUUGUUUUUAAAUCCAGUCAAUAUCGAAAUUAGAGAUGUCGAAUAGAUGUAUCGAUAUCUAUCGAUUGAGAUAUGAAAAGAACCGAACCACCAAUUAUAAGCUAGUCGAACCAGUAUUUUUAAACAUACAGGCAAAAAAUAUAUUUAAAUUAAAAACGUACUACUUAAAUUGUGGAUAGUCCGGCCAGUUUUGGUGACGGGACGGAGGAACAAAUCAAAAUAUCACACAACUCGAUGUUUCUAAGAGAUGGCAGUCCAAAAAAUAACGAAUAUAAAAAUACCAAAGAAUUUAGUACGGCAGCCCUUUUCACAUUUUGAGCGCCAAAUUUCUUAGAUUUUUGUAUGCAAACGACGCAGUUUCAAUUACAAGCUCGCGACUUGGCCAAAACUCUCAACGUGGGUGAUCGAUACGAGCUGCAGCUUGUUCAGGUGACCAAUUCGCAUAGCUUCCACUAGUGGAUGUAUGACGACGACGACUACGACUCCUGUGAUGUCAUGUCGUGAAACUUGGAUGAAACCUACAAGUACUUCGAAGCAACGACGUCAACAAUGCCGCCAUCCCUGCUGACGCCCGGGCACCUGUGAGUCGUCCGCUCCAACAAGUCCUCAAAGUGGCAGCGUGCGCGCCCAAGUCGGACAAUACCCGAAACACUGUAGAUGUGGAGCUUAUUGAUACGGGCGUAAUGGUUACAGUUUGCACAUUUAGUCGGCUGGGAAGCUAUAGCAGACUUUUUGCCAAAUUGAUGGCCAUCAAGGUAGGGCGGACAACAACGCGCAUGUGAUGCUUGUGAAUCCGUAUAACGUGCAUCUAAGCAGGUCGCUGAUAGAUUCCGGCCUGGUGCGUCGCUGUUUGCAGGCCUAGCAGCUCCUUUUUUAGAUCUUAGAUCUCCUCUACUUCGAUGGAUACCUAAAAACAAAAGCAAAAAUCAUUAAACACAAUUUGGAAAUCGCUUCUGAUUUUUUGCUCUGAAUACCUUCAACAUAUCAGCCCAUAUCUAUCGGAAAUACAAUGCGCGCAGCCGACAGAGGCAAAAGGACAAAGUGCCAGCGUCCCUUCCUGCUGCCGUUGACAGCCCGGGGGCACGCGAGUUACACAAAAAAAAAAACUAUGAGGCUGAUGAUCUGGACAUGGCAUUUCUUUUCGUGAUCGAAAGAGUCCUGCCAACCAAUUAGCACCCGAAAAAAUAACCAAAACUUAAAAGGGACUGUUAAAUAGGCCAAAGCUCUGAAACUCAAUGUAAUGAGGCAGCCAAUGCUUGCUAAUGCCUUAUACAAUUUUAGAGCAGUUCACUUCAUAGGAAUCCAUGCCAGACGUAAAUAGAUGGAGAAUGGAGGAGCACGGAAGAGAGGCGGGAUAAUGGGAUCGGGCCGGCAGUGGUCCAGCGCAUGACCAUAUAUGGCCAUGCGAUCACGCCACCAGCUGGGUCCCGUUACGAAGCAGGUGGAGCGCAUCAGACGAGUCGAUGGAAAAGUACGGGCACCGCGUGGAGGAAAGUCCCGUUUUUGCUAAGUAGCGACGGCCGCGGCCGUGCAUCAGCGAGGGAAUAAAAGGAGGCCCGCGGCAGCGUCUCGGGACAUUCGAGUGCGGAGAGUAACAGUCCGUUUAUCGGGAAUCAUAACAACGACGGUAAGGACAACAAGUCAGAAGCCAAUACCAAAGGACCCGGCAUAGGACCUGGAAAGCGAACGUGUCGUGUGCAGACUGAGUGUGGCGGAUCAUAGUCACAACAGUUUUAGAGCCGACAGUGCCACGCUUGGUAGAGGCGGGCUAUAACGGCAGGCGAUAAGAGAACCGAGCGGUGAUAAACCAAAGACUAGGCUAAGGCAUCCCUAAGUAUUAUUCCUCAGAUACCAAUAAAGAACUCGUAU